Non-coding RNA from Anolis sagrei ordinatus, 2208 nucleotides. The record is from RefSeq and is a predicted model, not a curated record. NCBI's taxonomy places the organism in Eukaryota, Metazoa, Chordata, Lepidosauria, Squamata, Anolidae.
AGGGCAAGUUUGUGAAGCCAGGAGGAUCUGUUGUUUAUGGAUUGUGGAUGUGAUUUCUUUUUUUGUUCUUCUCGAAACCACCAACAACAAUGUUGUAGGGCUAUGCAACAGGAAGAAGCUUUUUCACAAAUGGAAACCAAUCCGAGCGGGCAAGUUGGGAGGGAAGAGAGGCCAAUGAGCAAAAAAAGUAGAUACAGACUCCUCGUCAUCCAUUCUGGAGCUUUCCCUGCUGGGUUCUCCCCCUCCUGUUUCAGGCGACAGCAUGACCGUGACCAAAUGUUUUCUACAUUUUACUCUGUCAAAGGCACAAUAACUUUUCUUGGGGGGAAUUUUUUUAAAAAAACAGGAAAACUUUUUCUAAGACGAUUCCAUUCGACUCCAGGAGAUCGUGGGGUGGAAACACUCCUCCAACCGUGCAUGCAAUCAAUACGAAAUGAAGGCAAAUGGCUUUUUUUUCUUCGUAAUGGUCUCUCGAUUAAUUCCAGUCUCUCCUCCCCAUCUUUGUAUGUGUCCGUUUAAUGUGACAGACCCACUGAAAGGGAUGGGGUUCGUAGCCACAAAGCAAGCCCCCAUCUACACUGGCCAUUUAACGCACUUCAGAGCUAGCUAGUUGGAAGCGAGCUUUGAGCGAUGUGGUAAGAAUAUGAACUUCCAUUACAGGAAGGAAGGAAAAAUUAGGGAAGGCAAAAAAGAAAGAAAAAAGAAGGAAGGAAGGCAGGAAGGAAGGAAGGAAGGAAGGAAGGAAGGGAAGGGAAGAAGGGAAGGGAGGAGAAAAUUAUGGAAGGAAAGAAGCAAGAAAUGCAUGGCAAGGCAGACAGCCUGGCAAGAAGGCAGGUGAGCAAGAAAGCUGACAAGCAGGCAAAUAGGUAGGUAGGAAGCUGGUAAGCAAGCAGGCAAGCAGGCAAGCAGGUAGGUUGGCAAGCUGGUAAGCAACAAGCAGGCAGGCAGGUUGGCAAGCUGGUAAGCAACAAGCAGGCAAACAGGCAGGCAAGUAGGUUGGCAAGCUGGUAAGCAACAAGCAGGCAAACAGGCAGGUAGGUUGGCAAGCUAGUAAGCAACAAGCAGGCAAAUAGGCAGGCAAGUAGGUUGGCAAGCUGGUAAGCAACAAACAGGCAAACAAGCAGGCAGGUUGGCAAGCUGGUAAGCAACAAGAAAGCAAACAGGCAUGCAGGUAGGUUGGCAAGCUGGUAAGCAACAAGCAGGCAAACAGGCAGGCAGGUAAGUUGGCAAGCUGGUAAGCAACAAGCAGGCAAACAGGCAGGCAGGUUGGCAAGCUGGUAAGCAACAAGAAAGCAAACAGGCAGGCAGGUUGGCAAGCUGGUAAGCAACAAGCAGGCAAACAGGCAGGCAGGUGGGUUGGCAAGCUGAUAAGCAAACACACUGGCAAGCAAGCAAACAGGCAGGCAGGUAUGCUAGCAAGCUGGUAAGCAAGCAUGCUGGCAAGCAGACAAACAGGCAAGUAGGUAUGCUGGCUAUCCAGUAAGCAAACAAGCUGACAGGAAGGCAGGUAAGCAAGCAGGCAAGCAAGCAGGAAGGCAUGCAAACAGGCAGGCUGGCAAGCUGGUAAGCAAACAUGCUGGCAAGCAGACAAACAGGCAAGUAGGCAUGCUGGCAAUCUAGUAAGCAAGCAAGCUGACAGGAAGGCAGUUAAGCAAGCAGGCAAGCAGGAAGGCAUGCAAACAGGCAGGCAGGCAGGCAAUCUGGCAAACUAAAGACAGGCAACCUGGCAAGCAAGCAGGAAAGCAGGCUGGCAAGCUGAUAAGCAAGCAGGAAAGCAUGCAGGUAGGCAAUAGACUUGUGUGCGGAAUUAGUUUCUUCUAUUUCCCUCAUUUUUUUUGGUAGCUUCAGUACUUCAGGAGCCCAUAACAGUCAGGGCCCUCCCACUACGAAAACUUGUCUGACAAUAAUAAUAAUAAUAAUAAUAAUAAUAAUAAUAAUAAUAGCAACAAGUGGGAGCCAAUCUUGGCUCCUCCACUGCUUUUCGGCAUCACAGUUUAAUCUUUUUUAUUAAUCUCCCAGCAAACAAAAGGAAAACCCUCAUUCCCUGAAAACUACUACCAGUUACCUCUUCUCAUCCAGGAUGUCAUCACUCUUCCUUACCUGGACGUGGGAAGCCUCCUUAAAAUGCCUUGGAAAGAGUGUGUGACUGCUGGUGUGGUGCAGCCCGGGAGAGAAAGCGUGUGCACAUGCCAGCACCUCUCUCUAGAG